RNAcentral lists this ribosomal RNA (253 nucleotides) under uncultured bacterium. Its description in RNAcentral is "partial 16S ribosomal RNA". It matches the Rfam family "Bacterial small subunit ribosomal RNA", at positions 524 to 776 of the family's 1533-position model. The record is from RNAcentral.
UACGGAAGGUGCAAGCGUUAAUCGGAAUUACUGGGCGUAAAGCGCACGUAGGCGGCGUGUUAAGUCGGAUGUGAAAUCCCCGGGCUCAACCUGGGAACUGCAUCCGAUACUGACAGGCUAGAGUACGGUAGAGGGGGGUGGAAUUCCAGGUGUAGCGGUGAAAUGCGUAGAGAUCUGGAGGAACACCGGUGGCGAAGGCGGCCCCCUGGACUGAUACUGACGCUGAGGUGCGAAAGCGUGGGGAGCAAACAGG